RNAcentral lists this transfer RNA (76 nucleotides) under Thermoplasmata archaeon. RNAcentral describes it as "tRNA-Gly". It matches the Rfam family "tRNA". From Rfam's summary of the family: Transfer RNA (tRNA) molecules are approximately 80 nucleotides in length. Their secondary structure includes four short double-helical elements and three loops (D, anti-codon, and T loops). Further hydrogen bonds mediate the characteristic L-shaped molecular structure. tRNAs have two regions of fundamental functional importance: the anti-codon, which is responsible for specific mRNA codon recognition, and the 3' end, to which the tRNAs corresponding amino acid is attached (by aminoacyl-tRNA synthetases). tRNAs cope with the degeneracy of the genetic code in two manners: having more than one tRNA (with a specific anti-codon) for a particular amino acid; and 'wobble' base-pairing, i.e. permitting non-standard base-pairing at the 3rd anti-codon position. The record is from RNAcentral. Lineage: Archaea; Methanobacteriati; Thermoplasmatota; Thermoplasmata. RNAcentral also lists the same sequence under 1 other name.
GCGGAUGUGGUCUAGCUCGGUAGGACCGUAGCUUCCCAAGCUACUUGCUCGGGUUCAAAUCCCGGCAUCCGCACCA